UCUUUCCGGUCAAAGCUGGCGUAAACUGGGCUUACAGGAAGACUUUUGGCCCUGACAGGCUUCCAUACAGGUGGAACACAAAUUUCAGUGUUCUUAAUGGAAUGCAGCCGGCUGUAAGGGAGGAACUCCCGUGAAUGGAACGUUGCCAGCUAAAGUAGAGUGGUGUUCUGAACGGAACGCAGCCAUMUGCCAGGGAGGAGCUCCCGUGAAUGGGACGUGGCCGGCCUCCGUCAGCUGACGCACAGCUUCUGCCGCCGUCCGACAUCUUGCCUUCGAACGGCGGAACCGCAGGAACCGCUUGACCGUCGGUUCGUCCCGCCGAAGAGCCCGGGGAACCGUGAACUCCGGAGGGCGGAGGUCCGGGGACACAGCGGCGGUGCACGGAGCGGUGAAAACUCCACUCUAAGGAGUUUAAAUAUGGGUCCAGGACCGGACCGGACCGGACUGGACUGGACUGGACUGGACUUAUUUGAAACCUGAAGGUGACGCAGCUUCAGGCUGGUGGUGGCUGUGAAGCAGGGAGCCUGUUGCUAGGCAACAGCAGGGAGCGAUGAGGUCACUUCAGUCUGUGGCGAGACGUCGGCGCCGGUUUCAGGAGCWACAAACAGUUUAUCCUUCACGACCAUCAGAAGUCUGUUCAUCUGGGUUCUGUUCAGGUUCUGUUGGUCUGAAGCGGGUCGCUCUGGUCCCUGCAGCUGGUUUCUCCACUCCGGUCUUCAGCAGCAGGGGGCGCUGCUGCUGCUGCUCUCAGCUUCAACAGGACUUGGCUCCAGGCUCUUCGGCUGUCGUCCRGAACCUCCGCAGCCCAGACCCGAGCCGCACGUCGGGUCGGCGCCUCGUGAUGACAUCAUCGACCCGUGGCUCUGUGGUUUUUUUAGGUUUUGAUUUUCGUAGCGUUCGGUGAGAAAAUCGAAGCCUAAAGAAAAUACAGCGCUGUGAGGAGGCGCCGUUACGUUCAGGGAUCAUCCAGGAAGAGUUCUGCUCUGGCCCGGUUCUGUUCUAAACUGUACAACACCAGAACCAUGUAAAUCAAGAAGAAUGUUAUAUUGUUUCAGUCUGUUUUAUUUGUCAAAGUGUUUUCUGCUCCAGAGGCAGUUUUWUAAUUAAAAACUAAAACAAACA
This is a long non-coding RNA of Austrofundulus limnaeus, 1122 nucleotides long. RefSeq lists it as uncharacterized. The transcript has 2 exons. NCBI's taxonomy places the organism in Eukaryota, Metazoa, Chordata, Actinopteri, Cyprinodontiformes, Rivulidae. The record is from RefSeq and is a predicted model, not a curated record.